Molecule: transfer RNA, 77 nt
Filed under: bacterium
Lineage: Bacteria
Also listed under: 1 other name
Description: tRNA-Pro
Rfam family: tRNA
About the family: Transfer RNA (tRNA) molecules are approximately 80 nucleotides in length.
Source: RNAcentral
CGGGGUGUAGCUCAGUUGGCUAGAGUGCCUGGUUUGGGACCAGGAGGUCGCAGGUUCGAGUCCUGUCUCCCCGACCA